This 120-nucleotide ribosomal RNA is filed under the name uncultured bacterium. Its description in RNAcentral is "partial 16S ribosomal RNA". It matches the Rfam family "Bacterial small subunit ribosomal RNA", at positions 28 to 146 of the family's 1533-position model. The record is from RNAcentral.
GAUGAACGCUAGCGGCAGGCCUAACACAUGCAAGUCGAACGGGAUCCAUCAGCUUGCUGAUGGUGAGAGUGGCGCACGGGUGAGUAACGCGUAUGCAACCUACCUUUUACUGUGGGAUAG